This 253-nucleotide ribosomal RNA is filed under the name uncultured bacterium. RNAcentral's name for it is "partial 16S ribosomal RNA". It matches the Rfam family "Bacterial small subunit ribosomal RNA", at positions 524 to 776 of the family's 1533-position model. The record is from RNAcentral.
UACGUAGGCAGCAAGCGUUGUUCGGAAUUACUGGGCGUAAAGAGUGUGUAGGUGGUGUCGUAAGUUUGGUGUGAAAUCUCCCGGCUUAACUGGGAGGGUGCGCCGAAGACUGCGAUGCUGGAGUAUGGGAGAGGAAAGCGGAAUUCCUGGUGUAGCGGUGAAAUGCGUAGAUAUCAGGAGGAACACCUGCGGUGUAGACGGCUUUCUGGACCAUUACUGACACUGAGACACGAAAGCGUGGGUAGCAAACGGG